This 460-nucleotide ribosomal RNA is filed under the name uncultured bacterium. RNAcentral's name for it is "partial 16S ribosomal RNA". It matches the Rfam family "Bacterial small subunit ribosomal RNA", at positions 338 to 795 of the family's 1533-position model. The record is from RNAcentral.
CCUACGGGAGGCAGCAGUGAGGAAUAUUGGUCAAUGGACGAGAGUCUGAACCAGCCAAGUCGCGUGAGGGAUGACUGCACUGUGGAUUGUAAACUUCUUUUAUAAAGGAAUAAAGCGAGGCACGUGUCCCUGUUUGCGUGUACUUUAUGAAUAAGCAUCGGCUAACUCCGUGCCAGCAGCCGCGGUAAUACGGAGGAUUCGAGCGUUAUCCGGAUUUAUUGGGUUUAAAGGGUGCGUAGGUGGGUUGUUAAGUCAGUUGUGAAAGUUUGCGGCUCAACCGUAAAAUUGCAGUUGAUACUGGCAGUCUUGAGUAGAGUAGAGGUAGGCGGAAUUCGUGGUGUAGCGGUGAAAUGCAUAGAUAUCACGAAGAACUCCGAUUGCGAAGGCAGCUUACCAAACUGUGACUGACACUGAUGCUCGAAAGUGUGGGUAUCGAACAGGAUUAGAUACCCGGGUAGUC